This is a long non-coding RNA of Photinus pyralis (common eastern firefly), 282 nucleotides long. RefSeq lists it as uncharacterized. The transcript is spliced from 2 exons. NCBI's taxonomy places the organism in Eukaryota, Metazoa, Arthropoda, Insecta, Coleoptera, Lampyridae. The record is from RefSeq and is a predicted model, not a curated record.
UGUAAAACAACGAUCCCAAACAAUGAAUUCCAAACUGUUUAUUUUUGUCAUAUUGGCAACUGCUUUGUUGGUGUCUGUAUCCGCAGCACCAGCAAUGAAGAAAGGAGACAUCGUAGUUGUUGUUGGUCGCAAACGCCGAGACGCCGACAUUAAAUGCUUUGACAUUUCCCAUGGAUCUGUGGAACCAAAUGGUCACGGAUGCCGUCAAAUCGACCUUAAUUCGUUACCAAUUGAAAAUGUAUAAUAACUUUAUUAUAAUCCACAAUAAACUUUAAAUCGUAA